GCCUGAUGAGGCCUAAAAUUAGCAGGCUGUUUCCUACUCCUUUCAGGGGGACUGUAAAUACUUGGACCAGUAUAAUUAGGGCUGAACGGUAAAUUAUAUUUUUAUCUUUAUUUUAUUAUUAUUCUAAUAUGAGUUUUCACAAUAAACACGUCAGAAAAGAUGCGAUUAAAGAAGAGAAGAAUGUAAACCUCAAACUGCAUUACUUACAUGCAGCAACAGAGGGAGCUGUGAGGUACAUUUAAGCAGAGUGAGGUAGAGCAAGGUAGAGUGAAGUACAUGUAAGCAGAGUGUGGUAGAGCAAGGUAGAGGGAAGUACAUUUAAGCAGAGUGUGGUAGAGCAAGGUAGAGUGAAGUACAUGUAAGCAGAGUGUGGUAGAGCAAGGUAGAGUGAAGUACAUUUGAGCAGAGUGCGGUAGAGCAAGGUAGAGUGUAGUACAUUUAAGCAGAGUGAGGUAGAGCAAGGUAGAGUGAAGUACAUGUAAGCAGAGUGUGGUAGAGCAAGGUAGAGUGAAGUACAUGUAAGCAGAGUGCGGUAGAGCAAGGUAGAGUGAAGUACAUUUAAGCCGAGUGCGGUAGAGCAAGGUAGAGUGAAGUACAAUUAAGCAGAGUGUGAUAGAGCAACGUAGAGUGAGGUACAUUUAAGCAGAGUGUGGUAGAGCAAGGUAGAGUGAAGUACAUUUAAGCAGAGUGUGAUAGAGCAACGUAGAGUGAGGUACAUUUAAGCAGAGUGCGGUAGAGCAAGGUAGAGUGAAGUACAUGUAAGCAGAGUGUGGUAGAGCAAGGUAGAGUGAAGUACAUUUAAGCAGAGUGCGGUAGAGCAAGGUAGAGUGAAGUACAUUUAAGCAGAGUGCCGAAGAGCAAGGUAAAGUACAUUUAAGCAGAGUGCGGUAGAGCAAGGUAGAGUGAAGUACAUUUAAGCAGAGUGUGGUAGAGCAAGGUAGAGUGAAGUACAUUUAAGCAGAGUGCGGUAGAGCAAGGUAGAGUGAAGUACAUUUAAGCAGAGUGUGGUAGAGCAAGGUAGAGUGAAGUACAUUUAAGCAGAGUGCGGUAGAGCAAGGUAAAGUACAUUUAAGCAGAGUGCGGUAGAGCAAGGUAGAGUGAAGUACAUUUAAGCAGAGUGCGGUAGAGUGAAGUACAUUUAAGCAGAGUGUGGUAGAGCAAGGUAGAGUGAAGCAGUGCAAGAUAGAGGUAAGUACAAUGAAGCAGAGUUAGGUUCAGUGAGAGUGAGGUAGUGUGAGGCAGAGUAAGGUAAAGUGAGUGAGGUAGUGCAAGGUAUUUUAAGAUAAAGUGACUUGGAGGAAGUUAGAGUGAGGUACAGGGAGAGUGUACAGAGUGAGGUGUACUGAAACAACGUGAGGUAGAGUAAGGUAAAGUGAUGUUGGGCAAGGUAUUUUGAGAUGGAGGAAGUUAGAGUGAUGUAGAGGGAGACAAAGGAAGGUAUCGCAA
This is a long non-coding RNA of Astyanax mexicanus (Mexican tetra), 1446 nucleotides long. RefSeq lists it as uncharacterized. The record is from RefSeq and is a predicted model, not a curated record. Lineage: Eukaryota; Metazoa; Chordata; Actinopteri; Characiformes; Acestrorhamphidae. The transcript is spliced from 7 exons.